This 247-nucleotide long non-coding RNA is filed under the name Olea europaea (common olive). Its description in RNAcentral is "long non-coding RNA (OEUR_LNC008392)". Lineage: Eukaryota; Viridiplantae; Streptophyta; Magnoliopsida; Lamiales; Oleaceae. The record is from RNAcentral.
CGAAUAUCAGGAAAAGAGGUGGCUUCGACGUAGAUUCAUCUGUUGCUCACCACUGUGCACGAUUUUGGGGUGAUUUUGGGAGGUUUGGGGUUGAUUGUGGUUUAUAUCUAAGAUGGAGCUGUGUUUUCAGGUGGUUUGGGAUGAUUUGAGAUCGUUGCUGCGCAAGCAAGUGACGACUAUGGUGGUUUUACACAAGUUCAGAUGACGAUAUAGUGGUGUUAUUGUGGUGCGUUGAGCGGUGUUGUAG